Molecule: long non-coding RNA, 739 nt
Filed under: Heterocephalus glaber (naked mole-rat)
Lineage: Eukaryota; Metazoa; Chordata; Mammalia; Rodentia; Bathyergidae
Description: lncRNA (ENSHGLG00000036104.1)
Source: RNAcentral
GGAGGCAGCGACCUCCCCGAGACGCCGGGGCCGCUGUGAGCCCCGUCAGCUGCUCAGGACGUCUGGGGCCGACUGCCGAGGUUAGCGAUGAGGAGGCUGCCGCCUGGCACCGGUUCCCGUCCUCGCGCCUGGCAGCCCCACUGGGCUCCCCUGGCCAGGCCUCCCGGGCCUUCCCCGCCGAGAAGCCGGCAGAGGCGGCGCGAGAGACGUGGCCACGCUGCCCCCCAGUGGCCGACCUGUCUCACAGCAGAAAGAGUUAAAAGCAUCAUUCCACAGGAGUACAUGCAUACUCAUGUCUAUAGAAGCACAAUUUAUAAUAGCUUAAUCUUGGAAACAGCCCAUAUGCCCAUCAACAGAUGAAUGGAUAAAGAAAAUGUGAUAUCAAUAUACAAUGGAGUACUACUCUGCCAUAAAGAAGGAUAAACGAGUCAUUUUUAGGUAAAUGGAUGCACCUUGAGACCAUAAUGUUAAGUGAAAUAAGUUGGAUACACAAGUUUAAAUAUCAUAUUGUUUCUCUUGUGUUAUUGUUUCUCUUUUAGAUGCCCAAAGGGUAAAUAAGGAGCAAAAUGAAGGAUAGAUUUCGGGAAGUAGGAAGAACAAGUUCAAAUGCGAAGGGGAACAGGUAGGGAGAAAGGAAAAAGGAUUUUUAAAAAGAGAAUGGAAGGGGCAAAAAUGGAAACAAAGCUCUUGUAAAUGGGGAGGGGAAGAAGGGUUGAAGGGAGGGGAGGGAAAUGGGGAA